AGAAUCAACGCUGGCGGCGUGCCUAACACAUGCAAGUCGAACGAGAAAGUGGAGCAAUCCAUGAGUAAAGUGGCGCACGGGUGAGUAACACGUGACUAACCUACCCUUGAGUGGGGGAUAACCUAGAGAAAUCUGGGCUAAUACCGCAUAAUACCUUCGGGUCAAAGGAGCAAUUCGCUUAAGGAGGGGGUCGCGGCCGAUUAGUUAGUUGGCGGGGUAAUGGCCCACCAAGACUGUGAU
This 240-nucleotide ribosomal RNA is filed under the name uncultured bacterium. RNAcentral describes it as "partial small subunit ribosomal RNA". It matches the Rfam family "Bacterial small subunit ribosomal RNA", at positions 26 to 280 of the family's 1533-position model. The record is from RNAcentral.